GGCCAUUUCAUCACCCAGUUAAUAAGAAAUUUGUUCCAGAUUAUUACAAAGUGAUUGUCAAUCCAAUGGAUUUAGAGAGCAUACGUAAGAACAUCUCCAAGCACAAGUAUCAGAGUCGGGAGAGCUUUCUAGAUGAUGUAAACCUUAUUCUGGCCAACAGUGUUAAGUAUAAUGGACCUGAGAGUCAGUAUACUAAGACUGCCCAGGAGAUUGUGAACGUCUGUUACCAGACAUUGACUGAGUAUGAUGAACAUUUGACUCAACUUGAGAAGGAUAUUUGUACUGCUAAAGAAGCAGCUUUGGAGGAAGCAGAAUUAGAAAGCCUGGACCCAAUGACCCCAGGGCCCUACACGCCUCAGCCUCCUGAUUUGUAUGAUACCAACACAUCCCUCAGUAUGUCUCGAGAUGCCUCUGUAUUUCAAGAUGAGAGCAAUAUGUCUGUCUUGGAUAUUCCCACUGCCACUCCAGAAAAGCAGGUAACACAGGAAGGUGAAGAUGGAGAUGGUGAUCUUGCAGAUGAAGAGGAAGGAACUGUACAACAGCCUCAAGCCAGUGUCCUGUAUGAGGAUUUGCUUAUGUCUGAAGGAGAAGAUGAUGAGGAAGAUGCUGGGAGUGAUGAAGAAGGAGACAAUCCUUUCUCUGCUAUCCAGCUGAGUGAAAGUGGAAGUGACUCUGAUGUGGGAUCUGGUGGAAUAAGACCCAAACAACCCCGCAUGCUUCAGGAGAACACAAGGAUGGACAUGGAAAAUGAAGAAAGCAUGAUGUCCUAUGAGGGAGACGGUGGGGAGGCUUCCCAUGGUUUGGAGGAUAGCAACAUCAGUUAUGGGAGCUAUGAGGAGCCUGAUCCCAAGUCGAACACCCAAGACACAAGCUUCAGCAGCAUCGGUGGGUAUGAGGUAUCAGAGGAGGAAGAAGAUGAGGAGGAGGAAGAGCAGCGCUCUGGGCCGAGCGUACUAAGCCAGGUCCACCUGUCAGAGGACGAGGAGGACAGUGAGGAUUUCCACUCCAUUGCUGGGGACAGUGACUUGGACUCUGAUGAAUGAGGCUUCCUUUGGGCCUCCUUGGUCAGCCUUCCCUGUUCUCCAGCCUAGGUGGUUCACCUUUCCCCAAUUUGUUCAUAUCUGUACAGUAUCUGAUCCUGAAAUCGUGAAAUUAACUAACACCUUAGCCUUUUUAAAAGUAGUAAGUAAAUGAUAAUAAAUCACCUCUCCUAAUCUUCCUGGGGCAAUGUCACCCUUUGAUUUAAAACAAAGCAACCCCCUUUCCCCUACCACUACGGAAAAGAGCAAGCUCAUUUUUCCGUGUCCUCC
This 1310-nucleotide small RNA is filed under the name Pan troglodytes (chimpanzee). RNAcentral describes it as "processed transcript". The record is from RNAcentral. Lineage: Eukaryota; Metazoa; Chordata; Mammalia; Primates; Hominidae.